ACAGAGGGCUCGAGCGUUAAUCGGAAUCACUGGGCUUAAAGCGUGCGUAGGCGGAUCUUCAGGCUUGUUGUGAAAUCCCACGGCUCAACCGUGGAAUUGCGAUGAGAACCGGAGAUCUUGAGUCAGGUAGAGGCGGGUGGAACGAUAGGUGGAGCGGUGAAAUGCGUAGAUAUCUAUCGGAACGCCAAAGGAGAAGUCAGCCCGCUGGGCCUGUUCUGACGCUGAGGCACGAAAGCGUGGGUAGCAAACGGG
This 252-nucleotide ribosomal RNA is filed under the name uncultured bacterium. RNAcentral's name for it is "partial 16S ribosomal RNA". It matches the Rfam family "Bacterial small subunit ribosomal RNA", at positions 525 to 776 of the family's 1533-position model. The record is from RNAcentral.